Molecule: long non-coding RNA, 1236 nt
Organism: Coturnix japonica (Japanese quail)
Lineage: Eukaryota; Metazoa; Chordata; Aves; Galliformes; Phasianidae
Source: RefSeq, a predicted model, not a curated record
CAGUCAUCUUCAGAAAGUCAUCCCAUGAGUAUAUUAUGGGCCAAGGAAGAGGAUAUACGCAACAGGAGGCUGCCUUUUCUCAGGGUCUGCCAAGUUCUCAGCUGCCCAUCUGGGAAUAAAUAGCCUCUGGAGGAGCCCAGGAUCAGCAGAGGAGAAUUCAGAAAUGCUGAGUCAAGGCCUGAAGCAGUGAUGGAGCACCUGGUGGGAAGGCAGGGCCAGCCCAGGGCAGCUCAGGUGUAAGCAAUGUGUCUGAGUGAUGGAAGGGCUGCAGCCAGGAUCCACCCCUUAUUUAAGGGCUGGCAGUGGAAGUGAGGGGGUCUUGCUGGAGAUCUCUGCGUAUCUGUGGCCUAUCUGAAGGCCAUGGAGCUCUGGCUCAAAGCUUACUCGCUUCUAUUUCUUGGAGAAGAAGUUCAGGUGAAUUUGAAGUUUGUCCAGUUUAAUGGCCUGCGUCUGCAGGUGAGGUGAAGAUCAAGUCUGCUUAGGUAAGCUGAAAGAGUUUUCACCAGCCCCCACUGCUGAUUUGUUCUUAUCAUAUUUCUCUAUCCCUCCCCCCAGCCCCUUUCUUUCUCAUCCUUAAAUUUUGUCCCUCUAACUGUAACUCCCAUUUUAUUUCCCAUCUGCCUCCUUUGUUCUGUCCAGCAGAACACACGGCUGCUCUGCACAAGUGUACAUCCCAUUCACUGCAGCAUCCAAGCAUUCAGCCAUAGCACACUGUGUUCAUCUGAGCGCUGCCAGCUGAGACACAGCUAUGCAGGCAGCUGGCAAAUAAACCAUCUGAACAUGCAUGCAUACUGCUAGCAGUGCAUGCACUUCCUUUUAUGACACAGAACACAGCUUCUAGUUGCUGCACAGCCCACCACGCCAAAAGAAACAAAGUUUCUUGGGGUGAGGUCUCCUAUUAUGACCACUGUGGGUAAACAAACAAACUGUUCUGUGAAUAUACAGGCUCCAAAAGUGCCCUUCUGCUCUUAACAAUGAGUACCGGGUUGCACAGAGAGAAACACACCUUAACAGUUGAAGUGUAGUACACAAAUCUCGGUCUAAGCAGAGAAAAACCUUCCCAUGGGAUCUAGCAAACUGAAGUCUGGUUUCAAGUUAAUGUGUCAGGUUUGUGGAAAAAAACAGGGAGUUGUUAGAGAGCAAGAAAGACAGCAGCUGCAAAUAGGUUUGAUUUAUUGCUACUUAAAAAUGUACACUAGAAAAUGCACAUCUGAAUAAAAUAAGCUAUUAAUUCAA